Molecule: long non-coding RNA, 1266 nt
Organism: Tarenaya hassleriana
Lineage: Eukaryota; Viridiplantae; Streptophyta; Magnoliopsida; Brassicales; Cleomaceae
Exons: 2
Source: RefSeq, a predicted model, not a curated record
AAACGUGUUCAAAGUUUGUUUUCUUUACAGUUUGCCUUUUUGUUCAAAAGAGAAACCCUAAGUUCGAAAAUUCCCCCAAAAGCAAUCUUCCACCACCGUCGACCAUCCACGCUCCCUGUGACCGCCGUUCGGCGUCCACUGUCGACCACCGGCGCUCCUUGUAACCACCGUCCUCCUUCCGACUUCACCAAAAAUCUCCACCAAAGCCGAUUUUCCAAAUUUUCGUUCGAAAGAGAGAAGUAAGUAUGAUUUUCGUUUCGAGUUGAUUAGUUUUGAUGAUUCCUUGUUCUGUUGUUUCCGAUUAGGUGUUUUAGAUGGCUUUUAGAUUUCGAUUUCGGUCUUUGAAGUGGUUUAACAAAUUUUUCAAAAAAACCCAAAAUCAAGGGUUUCUAAAAAAAAAAAAAAAGUGGUGUGGUCUCAAUUUGUUGUUCUGUUGUUGUCGAUUAGUGGUUUUAAAUGAGUUUUUUUUAUAUAGUUUAUUUUUGUCUUGUGCAGAUUCCAUUGUCCCUAACCUCAUAUUUUGUCCGGAUACAGUUGUUAUUAAUCGUUUGAUUUAAUGUGUAAUGAAAUCAAGAUUAACUUUCAUAUGGGAGGCUUUAUGGAAUCUGUAGACGGACAUUUGAAGUAUGUUGAUGGGAUUAUGAGGCUGAAAUCAUUAGAUCUAACCCCAACACGACAACAGAAAUCAAGACUGAGACCGAUGUUAAUGGUAUCAGGACAACGAAGAUUUGCACAAAUUCAACCAGGUCUCGUACAAGCGAAUCAUCCACAGUCGAGACCCUCACAAGUGAACCCCCCACAGCCGAUACCCUCACAAAUGAAUCCCGCACAGUUGAGACCCCCACAGCCUAGACCCACACAGCGGAGACCCUCGCAAGCAAACAAGCAACCAAGAACAGAAGCAAAUUGUUCACAAACUGUAGUGACAAGUCAAGCAUCAACGUCGGCUCAAGGUACACAACCGGCAUUCAAUGCAUUCCCUUCGCAAUCGAGUCGGACCUCGCUCGCAAACGGUAUAUCUUCAACCAUCACGCAGACGUCGUCUUCUCAAAAUUAAUCAGGCGGCACAACUCCAUGAGACUUCAAACCUGAUGCUUCACCGAACUCCAAACACAGGGAGACCUUUUCGAGUGCCGAGACAAACUGAUAAAUCUGCAAAUCACUAACUUAUCUAUAUGUUUUCCACUUACUAUAUUUUUUGGAUGCAUUUGAUUUGAUGUAUGGAUAUGAUUUAUGUUGGAUGAUUUGGGAUGAAUCGGAUGUUAA